UCCAUAAUGCUGAAGUACGAUAUUCAAGAGCGAAGAAUAUGAUCUAUGCUCUAAUCAUAUCGGUACAAUGACUUCAUCUGUACUUUCAAGUACAUCCGAUUAUAGUCUUGACAGACCAGUUACUGAAGGUAAUUUUACAUCGACCUAAUACGUCAGAUCAGAUGAUGAAGUGGACAGUAAAGCUUGAUGAAUUUGACAUACAAUAUCGCCCAUGACCAUCCAUGAAGGCAUAAAUUUUAGCCGACUUUAUCAUCGAAUAUACAAUACCUGACAAUAAAUCAGUAGAUACAGAUAACAACACAAUAAGGCAGGCUACGACUCUCGAACCCGACCAA
This 335-nucleotide long non-coding RNA is filed under the name Elaeis guineensis (African oil palm). RNAcentral describes it as "long non-coding RNA (EGUI_LNC016527)". Lineage: Eukaryota; Viridiplantae; Streptophyta; Magnoliopsida; Arecales; Arecaceae. The record is from RNAcentral.